Molecule: ribosomal RNA, 253 nt
Filed under: uncultured bacterium
Lineage: Bacteria
Description: partial 16S ribosomal RNA
Rfam family: Bacterial small subunit ribosomal RNA
Source: RNAcentral
UACAGAGGGGGCAAGCGUUGUUCGGAAUUACUGGGCGUAAAGGGCGCGUAGGUGGCCUUCUAAGUCGAACGUGAAAUCCCUGGGCUCAACCCAGGAACUGCGUCCGAGACUGGGAGGCUUGAAUCCGGGAGAGGGAUGCGGAAUUCCAGGUGUAGCGGUGAAAUGCGUAGAUAUCUGGAGGAACACCGGUGGCGAAGGCGGCAUCCUGAACCGGCAUUGACGCUGAGGCGCGAAAGCUAGGGGAGCAAACGGG